RNAcentral lists this ribosomal RNA (506 nucleotides) under uncultured bacterium. RNAcentral describes it as "bacterial SSU rRNA". It matches the Rfam family "Bacterial small subunit ribosomal RNA", at positions 791 to 1297 of the family's 1533-position model. The record is from RNAcentral.
UAGUCCACGCCGUAAACGAUGAUAACUAGCUGUCCGGUCUCAUAGAGAUUGGGUGGCGCAGCUAACGUAUUAAGUUAUCCGCCUGGGGAGUACGGUCGCAAGAUUAAAACUCAAAGGAAUUGACGGGGGCCUGCACAAGCGGUGGAGCAUGUGGUUUGAUUCGAUGAUACGCGAGGAACCUUACCUGGGCUAGAAUGCGAGUGACCUUUCGGGAAACCGAAAUUUUCUUCGGAACACGAAGCAAGGUGCUGCAUGGUUGUCGUCAGCUCGUGCCGUGAGGUGUUGGGUUAAGUCCCGCAACGAGCGCAACCCCUAUCUUUAGUUGCCAUCAGGUUAAGCUGGGGACUCUAAAGAGACUGCCUACGCAAGUAGAGAGGAAGGCGGGGACGAUGUCAAAUCAUCAUGGCCCUUAUGCCCAGGGCUACACACGUGCUACAAUGGCACCGACAAAGGGAAGCAACACGGCGACGUGGAGCCAAUCCCAAAAACGGUGUACUCAGUUCGGA